This 72-nucleotide transfer RNA is filed under the name Anneissia japonica. Its description in RNAcentral is "tRNA-Val". The record is from RNAcentral. Lineage: Eukaryota; Metazoa; Echinodermata; Crinoidea; Comatulida; Comatulidae.
GAUUCCGUAGUGUAGCGGUUAUCACAUCGCCUAACACGCAGAAGGUCCCCGGUUCGAGCCCGGGCGGAAUCA